CUGUACGGCUCGGUCGGGCUCGAUUCCUUCCUUCUGCGGGUAACGUUCUACAAAGAUUUCUCAACAAUUACACUUUACAAUCAGAGCCGGCAAACUGUAGUGGAGAGAUCGAUGCAGUGGAGGGGAUAACGCUAGCAACCAGGAAAGUAGGGGCAAGGGUCCGCCAGUUAGCCAACUAUGCUUUACAUUAUAAAACGUAUCUGUCAGAGGAAAAAAAAAAAUUAUCUAACAAAGAAUACAAUUUAUGAAAAAAAAAAACUAACGAAAGAAAAAAUUAUCUCCAAAAUAUAAAAUAAAUCGAAACUUGCUCUAAUUUCUCUCACCUUACGUUACGUUAAAAAUAUCUGUCUGCUAAAUACAAUGAGUAAUAUAAUAUACAAAAAUUAGUAAUCAAUAUAAAAACAAACUAAGAAAAAAAAAAUUAUCUCAAAAAUAUAAAAUAAAACGAAACUUGCUCUAAUUUCUUUCAUCUCACGUUACGUUAAAAAUAUCUGUCUGCUAAAUACAAAGAGUAAUAUAAUAUACAAAAAUUAGUAAUCAAUAUAAAAACAAACUAAGAAAAAAAAAAUUAUCUCAAAAAUAUAAAAUAAAACGAAACUUGCUCUAAUUUCUCUUACCUUACGUUACGUUAAAAAUAUCUAUCUGCUAAAUACAAAGAGUAAUAUAAUAUACAAAAAUUAGUAAUCAAUAUAAAAACAAACUGAGAAAAAGAAAAGUUAUCUCAAAAAUAUAAAAUAAAACGAAACUUGAUUUAAUUUCUCUCACCUUGCAUUACGUUAGAAACAUCUGUCUGCUAAAUACAGAGAGUCAUCAGUCUUACUAAGAAAAGAAAAAAAAAAAAAAAAAAAAACUAUCCCAAAGAUAUUUAAA
Molecule: long non-coding RNA, 870 nt
Organism: Frieseomelitta varia
Lineage: Eukaryota; Metazoa; Arthropoda; Insecta; Hymenoptera; Apidae
Exons: 2
Source: RefSeq, a predicted model, not a curated record